UCCGUUCGGCUUCUGGGGUUGGCGGAGGUGUACGGCUGGCUGACCGAGCUUGUUCAGGUGCUGGUUUGUGUUGCAGCGGCCUGUGGUCUCCCUGGCUCCAGCCGCCUGCUUGGAAAGUCACGCCCCAUAUUCCUAAACACCGGGCGAACGUUAUGUCGUAUACCUUUUAGCCCCGUUUAAAGCCUUGAAAAGGCCGAGCAGUCUUCCCGAAGUCUCACAUCCCGUACGAGGAAAGAAGCUUCGUAUUACAACAAGCUGACAUGUUUUUAGCUCAAGAGUAGAGACUUCUGUCAAUCAUGUGGGAUCAUGAAUGCCUCAAAGGUUGGAGGUCCAUGCGUUGACCAAGAAGAACUCCAGCUGCUUCAGAUUGCUUGAUUGUCACUGAAAAGUACACCCAAUAUGAAGAAGAUUGCAGUUAACUGGAGAUUAAAAUUAGAUGUCUUAAUAAGGCAAAUCA
Long non-coding RNA from Gorilla gorilla gorilla (western lowland gorilla), 457 nucleotides. RefSeq lists it as uncharacterized. NCBI's taxonomy places the organism in Eukaryota, Metazoa, Chordata, Mammalia, Primates, Hominidae. The transcript is spliced from 2 exons. The record is from RefSeq and is a predicted model, not a curated record.